RNAcentral lists this long non-coding RNA (442 nucleotides) under Mytilus galloprovincialis (Mediterranean mussel). The record is from RNAcentral. Lineage: Eukaryota; Metazoa; Mollusca; Bivalvia; Mytilida; Mytilidae.
UGGGGCUGUAAUAUCUAUUUUUUGUUCUUAAUGCUUGAAGGAAAAAAUGUCUUGCCAAACAAAAGAGAGAAAAAAGUUGUUGUGCUGAAAAGUUCAUUAAAAUUUCUAAAACAAAAUUCUGCUUUUCACAUCAUCCUGUUUAUAUAGACUAUCAUUUUGGGGCCUUUUGUAGCAGGCUAUAUGGUAUGGGGUUUUGCUUAUUGUUGAAGACCGUACGGUGACCUAUACCUUUUAAUUUCUGUGUUAUUCGGUCUCUUGUGUAUAGUUGUCUCAUUGGCAAAUAUACCACAUCUUUAUAUAUGAUCAUACUUUACUUACAAAAUGACUGGCAUUUUUAGUAACUCUUAACAAAUUAUUUGCUUCAUGCAAUUACUAUAACAUUUGCAUAUAUACUGGAUAGUGAUUUCUGACAUUUAUAUCUAGUUUGAUUAGUGAAUUGUAU